AACGAACGCUGGCGGCAUGCCUAACACAUGCAAGUCGAACGGGACGUUCGGGCCUAGUUGCGCAGGUCUGCGUGACGCGUGGGAAGCUGCCCUUAGGUUCGGAAUACCUCCCCGAGGGGUGUCCUCAUACCGGUUAGUCUCUUCGCGCCUAAGAUUUAUCGCCGUGGGAUGGGCGCGCGUUGGUUUAGCUGGUUGGUAGGGUAAAAGCCUACCAAGGGGACGAUCCAUGGCUGGUCUGAGAGGAGGAUCAGCCACACUGGGACUGAGACACGGCCCAGACUGGGACGGGGGGCAGGAGUGGGGAAUAUAGUAGGAGGGGCGAAAGUCUGACACAGCAAUGCCGCGUGAGAGAGGAAGGGCUUAGGGUUGUAAAGCUCUUUGAGACGGGAUGAUAAUGACAGUACCGGGAGAAGAAGCUCCGGCUAACUCCGUG
RNAcentral lists this ribosomal RNA (433 nucleotides) under uncultured bacterium. Its description in RNAcentral is "partial 16S ribosomal RNA". It matches the Rfam family "Bacterial small subunit ribosomal RNA", at positions 28 to 507 of the family's 1533-position model. The record is from RNAcentral.